UACGUAGGGUGCAAGCGUUGUCCGGAAUUAUUGGGCGUAAAGAGCUCGUAGGCGGCCGGUUGCGUCUGCUGUGAAAUCCCGGGGCUUAACCCCGGGCGUGCAGUGGAUACGGGCUGGCUGGAGGCAGGCAGGGGAGAAUGGAAUUCCCGGUGUAGCGGUGAAAUGCGCAGAUAUCGGGAGGAACACCGGUGGCGAAGGCGGUUCUCUGGGCCUGUGCUGACGCUGAGGAGCGAAAGCGUGGGGAGCGAACAGG
This 253-nucleotide ribosomal RNA is filed under the name uncultured bacterium. Its description in RNAcentral is "partial 16S ribosomal RNA". It matches the Rfam family "Bacterial small subunit ribosomal RNA", at positions 524 to 776 of the family's 1533-position model. The record is from RNAcentral.